GACGAACGCUGGCGGCGUGCUUAACACAUGCAAGUCGAACGGAAAGGCCCUGCUCUUGUGGGGUGCUCGAGUGGCGAACGGGUGAGUAACACGUGAGUAACCUGCCCUUGACUUUGGGAUAACUUCAGGAAACUGGGGCUAAUACCGGAUAGGAGCUCCUGCUGCAUGGUGGGGGUUGGAAAGUUUCGGCGGUUGGGGAUGGACUCGCGGCUUAUCAGCUUGUUGGUGGGGUAGUGGUUUACCAAGGCUUUGACGGGUAGCCGGCCUGAGAGGGUGACCGGCCACAUUGGGACUGAGAUACGGCCCAGAAUCCUACGGGAGGCAGCAGUGGGGAACAUUGCACAAUGGGCGGAAGCCUGAUGCAGCAACGCCGCGUGCGGGAUGACGGCCUUCGAGUUGUAAACCGCUGUCGCCGGUGACGAAGCGUGAGUGACGGUAAUGGGUAAGGAAGCACCGGCUAACUACGUG
RNAcentral lists this ribosomal RNA (468 nucleotides) under uncultured bacterium. Its description in RNAcentral is "partial 16S ribosomal RNA". It matches the Rfam family "Bacterial small subunit ribosomal RNA", at positions 28 to 507 of the family's 1533-position model. The record is from RNAcentral.